AUACAAACCAGGCAGGGGAGAUAUCAUGAGCAUGUGGGUGGUUUUCCCAGGGCGAGGCUCAUCCAUUGCUCUCCGGUUGUGCUGACCCCUGCGAUUUCCCCAAAUGUGGGAAACUCGACUGCAUAGGUCGUGGUAGUGGGGGACUGCGUUCGCGCUUUCCUCUG
Nycticebus coucang (slow loris) is the source of this 164-nucleotide small nuclear RNA. RefSeq annotates it as U1 spliceosomal RNA. The record is from RefSeq and is a predicted model, not a curated record. NCBI's taxonomy places the organism in Eukaryota, Metazoa, Chordata, Mammalia, Primates, Lorisidae. The transcript has a single exon.